Molecule: transfer RNA, 86 nt
Filed under: Candidatus Bathyarchaeota archaeon
Lineage: Archaea; Thermoproteati; Candidatus Bathyarchaeota
Description: tRNA-Met
Rfam family: tRNA
About the family: Transfer RNA (tRNA) molecules are approximately 80 nucleotides in length. Their secondary structure includes four short double-helical elements and three loops (D, anti-codon, and T loops).
Source: RNAcentral
GGGGUAGCCAAGCUAGGUCAAAGGCGCAGGGAUUCAUACUCCUGUGGCGUAGGCCUUCGUGGGUUCAAAUCCCACCCCCCGCACCA